This 490-nucleotide ribosomal RNA is filed under the name uncultured bacterium. RNAcentral's name for it is "partial 16S ribosomal RNA". It matches the Rfam family "Bacterial small subunit ribosomal RNA", at positions 28 to 507 of the family's 1533-position model. The record is from RNAcentral.
GAUGAACGCUAGCUACAGGCUUAACACAUGCAAGUCGCGGGGCAGCAUGUGUUUUGCUUGCUAUCCCCGAUGGCGACCGGCGCACGGGUGAGUAACGCGUAUCCAACCUGCCCUUCACCACGGCAUAACCCUGCGAAUGUCGGACUAAUACCGUAUGUUCUCCAUUGACGGCAUCCGAUAUUGUCGAAAGGCUUGGCGGUGCGGGAUGGGGAUCCGUUUGAUUAGCCAGUCGGCGGGUUAACGGCCCACGGGGGCUACGCUAGGUAGGGGUUCUGAGAGGGAGGGCCCCCACACGGGAACUGAGACACGGUGAAGACGACUACGGGAGGAAGCAGUGAGGAAGAAUGGGCAAUGGGCGUAAGACUGAACCAGCCAAGUAGCGGGAAGGACGACGGCCCUAUGGGUUGUAAACUGCUGUUAUGAGGGGAUAAAGUGGACGACGUGUGGGCUUUUGAAGGUACCGCAUGAAUAAGGACCGGCUAAUUCCGUG